This 621-nucleotide small RNA is filed under the name Pongo abelii (Sumatran orangutan). RNAcentral's name for it is "processed transcript". Lineage: Eukaryota; Metazoa; Chordata; Mammalia; Primates; Hominidae. The record is from RNAcentral.
UAUUCCAGCCCAGUAGACACAGCUCACAAGGUACUGAUUAGCCUGAGGACCUUCCUGAGGAGGAAUGAGGAUAUCCAAGUGGGCGGUCUUAUCCGAGGCCACUUCCUGCUGAUCCUGCAGCGUCUGCUAGUGGAGCAUGGGACAUCCCCAUCAGGAGCCUCGGGGAACCUACCAUUGCUGCUGAGCCUCCUCUCCCUGAUGCAGCUCAGGAAUGUGUCAGAGCAAGAACUGGACAGCGUGGCCAUGAAGCUCCUUCACCAAGGUGCCCUGGCUGCUUGAGAUAGCACCCAAGGGCCCAGGGCUGGACGUGCAGUGGGUGCUCACUAAUAAGCAAGCUGUGUGGGACGUGCAGCCCCACUGACGUGGACAUCCUGCAGCCCUCCUUCAACUUCCUGUAUUGGAGCCUUCAUCAGACCACACCCAGCAGUCAGAAAAGAGCUGCUGCAGUGCUCCUGAGCAGCACAGGCCUGAUGGAGCUUCUGGAGAAGAUGCUGGCACUCACCUUGGCAAAGGCAGAUUCUCCCAGGACUGCACUCCUCUGCUCUGCCUGGCUGCUCACUGCCUCCUUCUCUGCCCAGCAGCACAGUGGCAGUUUGCAGGUUCACCAGACACUCUCUGUGG